This 921-nucleotide long non-coding RNA is filed under the name Manihot esculenta (cassava). RNAcentral's name for it is "long non-coding RNA (MESC_LNC012374)". Lineage: Eukaryota; Viridiplantae; Streptophyta; Magnoliopsida; Malpighiales; Euphorbiaceae. The record is from RNAcentral.
UCUUCCUUGGUCAUUGUACUGGGAUCCAUGGCAGGGGCAGAUGAACUUAUUCUCAGCAGCAUUCCAGGGCACCACACACCCAAGAUGUGUGCACACUGCAUUUAUUCCAUAUGUUGCUAAAGUCCUGUCUUUCUCCACAACAAGGUAGGUGGGAUCUCCCUUAAUCACAGAAAAAAGCCCAAAUGAUACUCAUCAUCACUUCAUAUUUAAAAGUUGGAGUAAGUGUUGUUCUUUGUAACUUAAAUGCUUAUUCUGUAAUUUUACUCUUUUACUUGGCCCUUCUGUGACUUGUAAUUUCUCAAGAUUCCAUGCUAGCUGUGCUCAAAAGGAAUCAAAAUGAUCUAGUUUUGGCACAUUCAUACACGCAAAGAAUCAUUUAUGUUUUUAGGAAAAUUAACUAUUUAAUCUAUAUGGUAUAGAAAACUCGUUAGUUGAUCUUCUAUUUUGAAAAAUGUAUUAAAACAUUUCGAUAUUUUAGAAGUUUAGAAUUAGUUUUUUUUGUUGAUAUAUUAAUUUCCCUUAUGCUGUUUGUGUAGCUAUUGGUACCUUCAAUCCUUGAGUGAGGGUUCGGUCACCAGGGCCAUGAGUCUUAAGCCAUUGUGCUGCAAUUACAUCAUUUCCAACUGCAUCCUUUGCUACGGUGCCACCUCCAGCACCUCCCGUCCUGUUAAAAGUUUCCCAUUGAAACAUCAAACUUUGUGCUUAAAAUUUAAACAGAGAGAGAAUUUAUCAAUAUUAGGGAACUUUUGAGCAAAUCCAAUUACUUACCCAGGUGGGACAAAGAAGGCGGUAUAAGGAACCAGCAUGAAUCCAGUAGGGAGAGAAAUAGCACCCAGAAGAAGCAGAUUCAUGAGCUGCCUCUUACCCAUGUCAGGAACUCUAUCAUCAGCAGGAACACUUGAUGCCUGGCAUGUGAUUCUC